RNAcentral lists this long non-coding RNA (1685 nucleotides) under Homo sapiens (human). Its description in RNAcentral is "HSALNT0056861". Lineage: Eukaryota; Metazoa; Chordata; Mammalia; Primates; Hominidae. The record is from RNAcentral.
AAAAGAAUGAAUAGUAGGAAUGAGGUAGAAUUAAUAUGGGAAAGUGAUACAUUUCUAAAUACACAUUUUUUUUGCAUUUUUCACUUUUUGGAGCCAUGUCAAUAUUUAGUAAGUCAGAAAACGUUUAUUUAAAAAGACUGAGGAAUGAGAAAAUCUACAAUGGAAGAUGAACAAAACCAAAGGAAUUCAACUGUAUUUUAAAUAUGAGACUGGUCUUGGCAGGUAAAGGCCUUCCCCAGCCAGAUGCUCAGCCUAAUGGGACUGCCGAGAGGAUCACAGUUGAAUGGAGCUGGAGUAAGUCACAGGUCUGUUGUUGGGCCUGCAGUUGAGUUUACAUUUGGCAGGCCUGUUAUCAAGCACAUGGUCAGGUAUGGUUCCUGCCAAAUCAACAGGUGGACAGGACUACCUCUUGGACCACAGGUAGGUAAGACUAGAGGCAGAUUAUUAGGCCUAUUACAUGUUUACUAUGAGGUCCUCCCAGAAUGGGCCUGUUGCUAGUGGUGCAUGCAGUUCAGAAGGCUCCUGCCAGAUCCCUAAGCAGGCUCUUGUUGGAUCAAUGGAAAGGUCCCAGGACAAGCAAGCAGGACUGCCUCUGGGACUGUGAUGGGGUGUGGUUGGGGCUGAGUAACAGGGCUGCUUCAGGGUCCACAGUUGGAUCCAAGGUUGGUAAGCCUGUUACUGAGGGUCCUGAUUGGCAUAGAUCUCACCAAGUCCCUGAUCAGAGAGGAUUACCUAUAGACCAUGAUAGAGUGGGACUGAAGCCAGGUCAAAGGGCUGCUUCAACAGCCCUACCACAGUCAAGUUUGAGAUUAAUGGGCAUGUUAUCAGGGACAUGGACAGGAGUGUUUCCUGUUGGGUCCCUGGACAGGUUGGUCUGUGCCUAGACUGUAGUUGAACAGGGCCACAGGCUGAUUUAGGGUCUGCAGUCAGAUCAAGGUUGGUGGACCUGUUACUGAGGACAUGGACAGGUAUGUCUCCCACCAGGCCCUGAGUGGGCAGGGCUGUCCCAAGACAGCAGCAGAACAAGUCUAGAACCAAGUCUCAGGAAUGCUUUAAGGUCCACAGCCAGGACUGUGAGCCUGCUACCACGGACACAGACAGGUGUUGCUGGAUCCCUGGAUAGGCAGGGCUUACUCUAUAACUCAUUAUAGAGUAGGACUGGAGCUGGGUCACAGAGCUCCUUCAGAAUCCACAGUUAGGACUGGAGUCAGUGAGCCUGUUCCUAGGGAUACAGAUGAGCUUCUCUCCCACUGGCUCCCUGGGUAUGUAGAACAGCCACUAGACUGUGGUAGAGAAGGGCUACAACGGGAUUACAUAGCUGCUGCAAAGUCCACAGCCAAAAAUGGAGUCAGAAGUCCUGUUAGUGGGGAUGCAGAUGAAUGUGUUUUUCUCUGGGUCUCUUAGAAGAGAAGGCUAGUUGCAGGACCAUGGCAAAGUACCGUUGGAGCCAAGUCCAUAGGGAGACAGAACUGCUUUCAGUCUGGGGCUAAGACCACAUUCAGUGAGACUGCCACCAAGGCACAGUCCUGCAUACUCAAAGCAGUCCUCCUCUAUCUUGGGCUUCUCUGGUAUUUCACAGCAUUCUACCUAAAUGUCAGAGCUACUACUGAGAAGGCAUUUUUGUUGGAGAGUGACUGCCAGAUCAUUGUUUGUGCAGAAGAGAUGUGAGCUGAGAUACCUCUUAU